Molecule: ribosomal RNA, 433 nt
Filed under: Lissodelphis borealis (northern right whale dolphin)
Lineage: Eukaryota; Metazoa; Chordata; Mammalia; Artiodactyla; Delphinidae
Description: partial 12S ribosomal RNA
Rfam family: Bacterial small subunit ribosomal RNA
Source: RNAcentral
ACCCCACUAUGCUUAGUCGUAAACUUAAAUAGUCCUAAAACAAGACUAUUCGCCAGAGUACUAUCGGCAACAGCCCAAAACUCAAAGGACUUGGCGGUGCUUCAUAUCCUUCUAGAGGAGCCUGUUCUAUAAACGAUAAACCACGAUUAACCUCACCAAUCCUUGCUACUUCAGUCUAUAUACCGCCAUCUUCAGCAAACCCUAAAAAAGGAACGAAAGUAAGCACAACUAUUGCACGUAAAAACGUUAGGUCAAGGUGUAACCUAUGGAUUGGGAAGAAAUGGGCUACAUUUUCUAUAAUAAGAACACCCCUUAAAUUUACACGAAAGUUUUUAUGAAACCUAAAAACUAAAGGAGGAUUUAGCAGUAAAUUAAGAAUAGAAUGCUUAAUUGAAUAAGGCCAUGAAGCACGCACACACCGCCCGUUANACAA